UAUGGUCACAUCAAGUUGAAACACCAGUUCCCAUAUGAUCACCAAAGUUAAGCAACAUUGAGCCUGGUCAGUACCUAGAUAGGUGACUGCUUGGGCAUACCAGGUGCUGUAA
Molecule: non-coding RNA, 112 nt
Organism: Acanthosepion pharaonis
Lineage: Eukaryota; Metazoa; Mollusca; Cephalopoda; Sepiida; Sepiidae
Source: the annotation of a GenBank genome assembly